This 68-nucleotide transfer RNA is filed under the name Lasiurus borealis (red bat). RNAcentral describes it as "tRNA-Asp". It matches the Rfam family "tRNA". Rfam says of the family: Transfer RNA (tRNA) molecules are approximately 80 nucleotides in length. Their secondary structure includes four short double-helical elements and three loops (D, anti-codon, and T loops). The record is from RNAcentral. Lineage: Eukaryota; Metazoa; Chordata; Mammalia; Chiroptera; Vespertilionidae.
AAGAUAUAAGUAAAGUAUUACAUAACUUUGUCAGGGUUAAGUCAUGGGUGAGAACCCCGUAUAUCUUU